GAGUAACACGUGGAUAACCUACCUAUAAGACUGGGAUAACGUUCGGGAAACCGGAGCUAAUACCGGAUAAUAUAUUGAACCGCAUGGUUCAAUAGUGAAAGACGGUUUUGCUGUCACUUAUAGAUGGAUCCGCGCCGCAUUAGCUAGUUGGUAAGGUAACGGCUUACCAAGGCAACGAUGCGUAGCCGACCUGANAGGGUGAUCGGCCACACUGGAACUGAGACACGGUCCAGAACUCCUACGGGAGGCAGCAGGC
This 256-nucleotide ribosomal RNA is filed under the name uncultured Staphylococcus sp. Its description in RNAcentral is "partial 16S ribosomal RNA". It matches the Rfam family "Bacterial small subunit ribosomal RNA", at positions 108 to 354 of the family's 1533-position model. Lineage: Bacteria; Bacillati; Bacillota; Bacilli; Caryophanales; Staphylococcaceae. The record is from RNAcentral.